UACGGGGGGAGCAAGCGUUGUUCGGAUUUACUGGGCGUAAAGGGCGCGUAGGCGGUCAGCACAAGUCAGUUGUGAAAUCUCCGAGCUUAACUCGGAAAGGUCAACUGAUACUGUGCGACUAGAGUGCGGAAGGGGCAACUGGAAUUCUCGGUGUAGCGGUGAAAUGCGUAGAUAUCGAGAGGAACACCUGCGGCGAAGGCGGGUUGCUGGGCUGACACUGACGCUGAAGCGCGAAAGCUAGGGGAGCGAACGGG
RNAcentral lists this ribosomal RNA (254 nucleotides) under uncultured bacterium. RNAcentral's name for it is "partial 16S ribosomal RNA". It matches the Rfam family "Bacterial small subunit ribosomal RNA", at positions 524 to 776 of the family's 1533-position model. The record is from RNAcentral.